Molecule: ribosomal RNA, 497 nt
Filed under: uncultured bacterium
Lineage: Bacteria
Description: partial 16S ribosomal RNA
Rfam family: Bacterial small subunit ribosomal RNA
Source: RNAcentral
GACGAACGCUGGCGGCGUGCCUAAUACAUGCAAGUUGAGCGCUGACGGUUGGUACUUGUACCCACUGGAUGAGCAGCGAACGGGUGAGUAACGCGUGGGGAAUCUGCCUUUGAGCGGGGGACAACAUUUGGAAACGAAUGCUACUACCGCAUAAAAACUUUAAACACAAGUUUUAAGUUUGAAAGAUGCAAUUGCAUCACUCAAAGAUGAUCCCGCGUUGCAUUAGCUAGUUGGUGAGGUAAAGGCUCACCAAGGCGAUGAUACAUAGCCGACCUGAGAGGGGGAUCGGCCACAUUGGGACUGAGACACGGCCCAAACUCCUACGGGAGGCAGCAGUAGGGAAUCUUCGGCAAUGGACGAAAGUCUGACCGAGCAACGCCGCGUGAGUGAAGAAGGUUUUCGGAUCGUAAAACUCUGUUGGUAGAGAAGAACGUUGGUGAGAGUGGAAAGCUCAUCAAGUGACGGUAACUACCCAGAAAGGGACGGCUAACUACGUG